CGGCGUUCGUUUUCGGCGAUCUUUUUAAGCCCUCGUGUCCUUUCCAGUUUCCAUUAGAAGGUCCAUCUCGGGGUGAAUUGCGAAAUCAAUUUUCCCAAGUUUAGAGCUGAAGUUUUUCCCUUCCUUUUUUAGCUUAAUAUAAUAUUUUCCGUCGAGAAAAGAAAAGGAAGGUGGCUCUUGCGACAUGAGCAAGAGACUCGCUUUCAUCCAAACCAAACGCGACUUCUCAAUCGAUCUGCUUGGGGGCUAUUGCGAUGGGCACAUAUGAGAUCGAAGAUUUAUUUACUUGAUAUGAGCUGCUAUUUUGCUCGCUCUCUUUCCCGAUAAGAUGUUCGUAUGGAGUCACUAUCACUGUAAUUGGAUAAUUAUGACAUAUAUAAACGGCUUAAUGUUCCCUAAUCUCGAAUGAGCUCCCUUGCAUGUGGAAACGAUUUCAAUAUGCAUUGGUCCCUAAGGGAUUAGCCUCUUUAGCUAAUCUCAAAGUCAGAAGAGAACUUGUUACCCUUGUUUUACUUGCUGCUAUUUCUCUAAUUUUGAGAAAGAACAACUUGCCCAGUCCAUGCCCCGAAUUGAUUGGUAUUCUGAAGGGAUGUAUUGAGCCUUUUUCUUUUUCUUUUUGGUUGCAAAGAUAUUGCAAGAAAGCUAACCAGCUUUGCUUAUCUUGGCA
Long non-coding RNA from Eucalyptus grandis, 667 nucleotides. RefSeq lists it as uncharacterized. The record is from RefSeq and is a predicted model, not a curated record. Lineage: Eukaryota; Viridiplantae; Streptophyta; Magnoliopsida; Myrtales; Myrtaceae. The transcript has 2 exons.